Molecule: long non-coding RNA, 1030 nt
Filed under: Homo sapiens (human)
Lineage: Eukaryota; Metazoa; Chordata; Mammalia; Primates; Hominidae
Description: HSALNT0308922
Source: RNAcentral
GGAGAGAGGGACAACAGUAGGAGCAGGCAGAUCUUGCUGUUUCAACCAAAACCUCAUGCUGACCAGAGUUGAGGAACAGAAGAAGAUGGUGAAGGCCUGCAGGUAUAGGUGUUCAGCAUGUCAUCUGAAAUAUUCCCCACAGAGGCAAAAAGAAAGGAAAUUAUCUCUGAAAAGGAAUGGGAGGACAAGUCAGCAGAAUAUGUCAAUGUUUUGGUUGAAGAAGCUGCUUGAAUCUGGGCUUUUCUGUGCCAUGUGUUCUCCCAGGGCCAGCACAAAGAAGGGCUUUUGGUGCAGGCCCAAGACCACCAUAAUCAUCAUUGAUUAUUCCUCUCCACGCCAGUGUCUCUAAAUAAACUUUCUCUUCUUUCUCUGACAAAGGUGUUUUUGAGUGUUACUGUUUAGCUGAAGAGUGACGUUGAGUGACCUUAGUACCCUAGCCCUUCAUGUAAUCAGAUGGGUGUUGUAAGCAGAGGGAGAACCAUCAGAAAUGAAGAUGCUUGUUUUCCUAGAAACAAGCCCAGGUCAUCCAUCAUGAAGUCCAGGAAUUGUAAAUGUGAGGAAGUGCAAAGACACAACGUACACUUACAAAGGCAUAUGUGCAUUUGGAAUUCUUUAAAGGACAACAUCCUCGAGCUUCUCCUGGAGUUAAACUAGAAAAUCACAGGAAAAGAUUAAAAAAUGGAGAUCAAGAGAAAGAGGGAAAAACAAAGACCAGAAUAAACAUAAUUUCUAUUCAUCCCCUGGAUUAGUGAGCACAAGCCAUGCUUCUUGAUUCGAGCUCAGGUGAAGGGUGAAAUGCAGCCACAUCUAUAUUUUCCAAUGCCUUAUCUGUCUUCCUUUUUGGUCUCUUUGCUUGUUUUAUUUUAUAGGCUCAACGCACCUUCAUAUCUAUUAUCAACAAUAAAUGGGCCUGGUAUCAUUGGAAACGUGAAAAAUAGAACGUAAGAACUUUCAACCCCCCAAGUAAACCCUGGCUCCUCCAUUAUCUCUGAGGUUUCCCAUAAGAUCUCUUAAAAGUUUGUUGUUUUCC